RNAcentral lists this ribosomal RNA (757 nucleotides) under uncultured bacterium. RNAcentral describes it as "bacterial SSU rRNA". It matches the Rfam family "Bacterial small subunit ribosomal RNA", at positions 59 to 823 of the family's 1533-position model. The record is from RNAcentral.
AAGUCGAACGAACUUAACUCAUUCUUUUAGAUUGAGAGCGGUUAGUGGCGGACUGGUGAGUAACGCGUAAGGAACCUGCCUUUUAGAGGGGAAUAACAAUGAGAAAUCAUUGCUAAUACCGCAUAUGCCAUAAUUAUCACAUGAUAAUAGUGGGAAAGGAGCAAUUCGCUAAAAGAUGGCCUUGCGUCUGAUUAGAUAGUUGGUAAGGUAACGGCUUACCAAGUCGACGAUCAGUAGCCGGACUGAGAGGUUGAACGGCCACAUUGGGACUGAGAUACGGCCCAGACUCCUACGGGAGGCAGCAGUCGGGAAUAUUGCGCAAUGGAGGAAACUCUGACGCAGUGACGCCGCGUAUAGGAAGAAGGUUUUCGGAUUGUAAACUAUUGUCGUUAGGGAAGAGAAAGGACAGUACCUAAGGAGGAAGCUCCGGCUAACUACGUGCCAGCAGCCGCGGUAAUACGUAGGGAGCGAGCGUUAUCCGGAAUUAUUGGGUGUAAAGGGUGCGUAGACGGGAAAGCAAGUUAGUUGUGAAAUCCCUCGGCUUAACUGAGGAACUGCAACUAAAACUACUUUUCUUGAGUGCAGGAGAGGUAAGUGGAAUUCCUAGUGUAGCGGUGAAAUGCGUAGAUAUUAGGAGGAACACCAGUGGCGAAGGCGGCUUACUGGACUGUAACUGACGUUGAGGCUCGAAAGCGUGGGGAGCAAACAGGAUUAGAUACCCUGGUAGUCCACGCCGUAAACGAUGACCACUAGGUGU